Molecule: ribosomal RNA, 872 nt
Filed under: uncultured archaeon
Lineage: Archaea
Description: bacterial SSU rRNA
Rfam family: Archaeal small subunit ribosomal RNA
Source: RNAcentral
GAAUUCGAUUGCGGAUCCGGCGGGCCGCUGCAGACCUGGUCGAUCCUGCCGGACCCGACUGCUAUCAGAGUGGGACUAAGCCAUGCGAGUCAACAUAGCAAUAUGUGGCAUACGGCUCAGUAACACGUAGUCAACAUGCCCAGGGGACGUGGAUAACCUCGGGAAACUGAGGAUAAACCGCGAUAAGUCACUACUUCUGGAAUGGGUAAUGACUCAAAUCUAUAUGGCCCCUGGAUUGGACUGCGGCCGAUCAGGCUGUUGGUGAGGUAAUGGCCCACCAAACCUGUAACCGGUACGGGCUCUGAGAGGAGGAGCCCGGAGGUGGGCACUGAGACAAGGGCCCAGGCCCUAUGGGGCGCAGCAGGCGCGAAACCUCUGCAAUAGGCGAAAGCUUGACAGGGUUACUCUGAGUGAUUUCCGUUAAGGAAAUCUUUUGGCACCUCUAAAAAUGGUGCAGAAUAAGGGGUGGGCAAGUCUGGUGUCAGCCGCCGCGGUAAUACCAGCACCCCGAGUGGUCGGGACGUUUAUUGGGCCUAAAGCAUCCGUAGCCGGUUCUACAAGUCUUCCGUUAAAUCCAGCUGCUUAACAGGUGGGCUGCGGAAGAUACUAUAGAGCUAGGAGGCGGGAGAGGCAAGCGGUACUCGAUGGGUAGGGGUAAAAUCCGUUGAUCCAUUGAAGACCACCAGUGGCGAAGGCGGCUUGCCAGAACGCGCUCGACGGUGAGGGAUGAAAGCUGGGGGAGCAAACCGGAUUAGAUACCCGGGUAGUCCCAGCUGUAAACGAUGCAGACUCGGUGAUGAGUUGGCUAUAUGCCAACUCAGUGCCGCAGGGAAGCCGUUAAGUUUGCCGCCUGGGGGAGUACGGUCGCAAGA